This 503-nucleotide ribosomal RNA is filed under the name uncultured bacterium. RNAcentral describes it as "partial 16S ribosomal RNA". It matches the Rfam family "Bacterial small subunit ribosomal RNA", at positions 28 to 507 of the family's 1533-position model. The record is from RNAcentral.
GACGAACGCUGGCGGCGUGCUUAACACAUGCAAGUCGAACGGUGAAGCGCUUUCCUUUUUGGUUGGUGUGGAUGAGUGGCGAACGGGUGAGUAACACGUGAGUAACCUGCCCCCUUCUUCUGGAUAACCGCAUGAAAGUGUGGCUAAUACGGGAUAUUCUGCGCCUGCUGCAUGGUGGGUGUGGGAAAGAUUGUGCCUUUGGGUGUUUUCGGUGGGGGAUGGGCUCGCGGCCUAUCAGCUUGUUGGUGGGGUGAUGGCCUACCAAGGCGGUGACGGGUAGCCGGCCUGAGAGGGUGGACGGUCACACUGGGACUGAGACACGGCCCAGACUCCUACGGGAGGCAGCAGUGGGGAAUAUGGCACAAUGGGCGCAAGCCUGAUGCAGCGACGCCGCGUGAGGGAGGGAGGCCUUCGGGGUGUGAACCUCUUUCGCCAGUGAAGCAGGCCUGCUCCUUGUGGGUGGGUUGACGGUAGCUGGAUAAGAAGCGCCGGCUAACUACGUG